CUGCAAGGGAGACUCAAGCUGUUGCUAAGAGACAGUUGGGUCUGGUUCUGGCUCCAUCUCUCUGGUUCACUUGGAGGGGACUGGCUGCCUUCCCUUGGUGGCUGUUUUCUAUCUGGUCUUCUCCAUCCUACCGGCUUCUCGGCUGGCUGGUUGAUAACUACAAAGUUUCCUGGUGUGAUCCUGAACUGUCUGGGCAUCUGCCUAGGGAUACCUAUAGAUGAUGAAGUCCUCAAUGCUCCCACCUGUAGAUGACAUGAUGCUGGAUAUAUCAAGUCCGAGAACACUAUUUGACAACUCCCUAAGAGUAAUCCAUGAUUAUUCAAAAGACAUUGGUUUAACAUUCCAUCCUGGGAACAAAAAUGAUUGAAAAAAUGCCUGUUGUCCAGACACAUAGAAGACUGAUUCAUGAAAAUUUGCCAGAGAUUGUAUUCCAUGAGAGUAUGUAUGAAAUCAUUGAGAACUCUCCAUAGUAAUGGAGCACCAGAGGAAGAUUUAUGGUUGUUUUUUGGAGAAUGCCAAUGGAAUAGAGGAUUUUUUCCUUUAAAGAACCUUGAGCCUGGGGGAAAGUAUCAAAAAGAGAAUACCUUAUGUCUACUCCCCAGUGAUAUGGACACAUUUGGAAGAUGAUUUCUUAGCGUCCAGCUUGAUAAAGCAAGCAUCUUAUUAUUGCUCUCAUUAUGUUUGAGUAUGCUGCUCUAAUCACUUCAUUCUUUUUUUCAAGGUUAAAGGGGUGCUUUUGACGAGUAUGUACUGUUCUCUGGUUGCUAUGGAAAAGAAUGCAUGCUGGUAACUUUCAUCAGCUUUCAUGGAAGUUUAUGUGCACUUAACUCAAUAUAAACAAAAUGCUUCAAUUUUGUGCUUUCUGCAGACCCUUUUUUAUCAUUAAUCACCUUGAUUUAACUGAUGCCAAAACUCACAUGCCUUAAUACUAUUUUUGUUGUUUCAUAAAUUUUUAUAUCUACCUUGUGAAAAAAAUGUUGGAAGAGAUAAAGUUUCAUUAGUCUAUCUUUUGUUUAGUGUGGUUAGCUAUAUGAGCAUUACUGAGGCAACUGUGAAAUUCUUUUCCAAUUAUUUUAAUGUAAUCUGAGUAAAAAGAAAAACCCAAGUGCAUUACAUUACAUUGACCAUAAGAUGUUGAUUGGACUAAAACAGGAUGAACCCGGACAAGUAUUCAAAGAUACAAAGUCUUUUAAAAGAUCUCCAAAACUCCUUCCACAGUAAUAUUAAAGUUCCCCAAAGAGCAUUUCACAGUUAGGCAGUGACUAGAAAAAUAGGGUUCACGGAGGGAGUUCCAAGUCCUUCCUUAGGGACUAGCUAAGAGUUUGUCCUGAAGCUCAAACUUUGUUUUUCAAAUUUCCUUUAUGUAAAAAUGAGACUGUUUGGGGGUAAUAAUGGAGGAGGGUGAAUUUGUAAAGUGUUUUUUCAUGUGUAAAAACACUACUCACAUUUUUAUAUAACAUUACUACCAAAGCAGCAUGGAAAGC
Molecule: long non-coding RNA, 1484 nt
Filed under: Monodelphis domestica (gray short-tailed opossum)
Lineage: Eukaryota; Metazoa; Chordata; Mammalia; Didelphimorphia; Didelphidae
Description: lncRNA (ENSMODG00000037019.1)
Source: RNAcentral